CCUACGGGGGGCAGCAGUCGGGAAUUUUGCUCAAUGGGGGAAACCCUGAAGCAGCAACGCCGCGUGAGGGAUGAAGGCCUUCGGGUUGUAAACCUCUUUUCUCAGGGAAGAUGAUGACGGUACCUGAGGAAUAAGCCACGGCUAACUACGUGCCAGCAGCCGCGGUAAUACGUAGGUGGCGAGCGUUGUCCGGAUUUACUGGGCGUAAAGAGCGCGCAGGCGGUCGUGCAAGUCGCGUGUGAAAGCCCCCGGCUCAACUGGGGAGGGUCACGCGAUACUGCUCGACUCGAAGGCAGGAGAGGGAAGUGGAAUUCCCGGUGUAGUGGUGAAAUGCGUAGAUAUCGGGAGGAACACCAGUGGCGAAGGCGACUUCCUGGCCUGUUCUUGACGCUGAGGCGCGAAAGCUAGGGUAGCAAACGGGAUUAGAUACCCCAGUAGU
Molecule: ribosomal RNA, 439 nt
Filed under: uncultured Dictyoglomus sp.
Lineage: Bacteria; Pseudomonadati; Dictyoglomota; Dictyoglomia; Dictyoglomales; Dictyoglomaceae
Description: bacterial SSU rRNA
Rfam family: Bacterial small subunit ribosomal RNA
Source: RNAcentral